Molecule: ribosomal RNA, 254 nt
Filed under: uncultured bacterium
Lineage: Bacteria
Description: partial 16S ribosomal RNA
Rfam family: Bacterial small subunit ribosomal RNA
Source: RNAcentral
UACAGAGGGCGCGAGCGUUGUCCGGAAUCACUGGGCGUAAAGGGCGCGUAGGUGGCGCGACAAGUCAGUGGUGAAAGUUCGACGCUCAACGUCGAAUCGGCCACUGAUACUGUUGGGCUUGAGCACUGUAGAGGCUAAUGGAAUUCCGGGUGUAGCGGUGGAAUGCGUAGAGAUCCGGAAGAACACCGGUGGCGAAGGCGGUUAGCUGGGCAGUUGCUGACACUGAGGCGCGACAGCGUGGGGAGCAAACAGGG